RNAcentral lists this long non-coding RNA (349 nucleotides) under Mytilus galloprovincialis (Mediterranean mussel). The record is from RNAcentral. Lineage: Eukaryota; Metazoa; Mollusca; Bivalvia; Mytilida; Mytilidae.
UUUCAAGUUAUUUGUCAUUUUGUGAUAUGUGUGCAUUACAGAGGGGCGUUUAUCGAAAACAAAAAAUCUAUCACGCUAACCAGGAAGACUUCAUGUACUAUUUUUAAAUUUCUAAUGCUUUUCAAAAAUUAUAAUUGCUUAAAGUAUGACACUUCAUACCAUCUUGAACAUUAACACUUCAUAUAAUACUAUACAUGUAUAUUGAAUAUGUUGAAGUAGUUACAAACUAGAAGCGACGAUCAUGCAUCAUCUAGAGCUCAAAUACCGGGUACACAAAAUGUAAUUGACUAAUCGACAAACCCAGCUUUUGUGUGUUAUUAAACUUUUCCAAAUUAUGUUUUAUUGGCGG